Molecule: transfer RNA, 68 nt
Filed under: Omphalotus olearius VT 653.13
Lineage: Eukaryota; Fungi; Basidiomycota; Agaricomycetes; Agaricales; Omphalotaceae
Description: tRNA-Ser (TGA) (tRNA-Ser-TGA-3-1)
Rfam family: tRNA
About the family: Transfer RNA (tRNA) molecules are approximately 80 nucleotides in length. Their secondary structure includes four short double-helical elements and three loops (D, anti-codon, and T loops).
Source: RNAcentral
UGCAUAGUCUAGUGGUAUGAUUCCUGCUUUGAGUGCAGGAGGUCCCGGUACAAUCCCGGGUAUGUAAU